Humulus lupulus (European hop) is the source of this 1970-nucleotide RNA transcript. It is a transcript of the gene named F-box protein At3g08750-like, with no coding region annotated. The record is from RefSeq and is a predicted model, not a curated record. Lineage: Eukaryota; Viridiplantae; Streptophyta; Magnoliopsida; Rosales; Cannabaceae. The transcript has 3 exons.
UACCUUACCUUUUCUAUUUCAAAUCUCAAUGUUUAGGGCUUUUAGCGUUGUAGAUUUGGGGCUACACUCCCUUACUCGGAGACAUUAGAAGUUUCCAUCAAUGGGUGAUUCGGACGAAAAUCUUCUUGCUCUAACCCCGUUACCUGAAACCCUAGAAUCGAAUGAAAAGAUCAACACCGAUUCGGUGGAUGCUACAGUAGCUGAUAUUCCGAAAGCCUUAAAGCCUCUUCCUCCGCCCCUGGUUACAGAGAACGGCCUCACUCACAGUGGUACGAGUACUGGUACUGAUAGGGAUUGCUCUGGUGGUGAAGAAGAGUCUCUUAUUCUUGGGAUUAGUAAAUGUGAUCAAACUCUGGAGGACAAGCGACUCUGUCUUAAUAAUCAAGGUGCAGCAGAAGAAAUUAAUAGAUUUUGCCUGAUUCCAGAAUAUGUUGUUGAGCAAAUUUUGUUGAGUUUGGAUGCUGACUCUUUAAGAGAUUGUAAGCGCGUUUGUAAGCCCUGGUUUCAUCUGAUUAGUGACCCCUCAUUCAUAAACAAACACCUUGACCUUGUUUGUAAUCGCAAAAAUGCCAAGAUGAUCUCCUUUAUUGGGUACGAUAUUAUUUCAACAGUUACUGUUUGUGAGGGCAAUGAUGGUAACACCGUCGACAACGAUGACUACUUUUGUUGUGUUAUUGAACACGUGAAUAUUCUUCUGAAAGUAAAGAAAUGUGAGAACUUACCUCGGUUUAUAGGACUCUCCCAUUGUAAUGGCAUCAUUCACGUGUUUGAUCGUAGCAAAAAUACAUCAUCUAUUUUGUAUAACCCAACACUAAGAGAGUUCAAGUUACUUCGGGGACCCGCCUUUCCCUUGAAAAAGUUAUUGGGAUGUGGUUUUGGGUAUGAUACCAAAUCUAAUGUUUACAAGUAUGUUAAGAUUUUUUAUAAUAAAGAUUGUGGGGACACCGUAGCCAUGGUGCACACUCUAGGAACAAAUUCUUCCUGUUGGAGAGUGAUUAAGUUUGAUGUAGUAGAAGAUAUGAUAGACCACAAUGUCGAGGGAAUGUACUGUAAAGGUGCUUACUAUUGGCUUUAUCAAACAAGAAAUGAGGGUGUGAUUCUUUCUUUUGAUAUGUCUGCUGAGAUAUUUCGUAGAAUACCAAUUCCUUAUUACGUAGUCCAGGAAAAAUGUAAAAGAGAAAGUUUGAUAUUGGGAGAGUGGAACCAAUCAGUUGCCCUUUUCUUUGCCACUGGACUCAACUGGGACUCUUGUUUUUACGAGUUGUGGGUGUUGGUUGAUAGUGUUGAUAAAGGUUUUGCUAGUGCCCAUUGGAUCAAGUGUCUCAAAUUUGGGCCACUUCAACCGCCGUGUAUGCCCUUGGAAUUUUGGAAGGAUGAUGAGCUUUUUUUGUCGACUUAUAUGAAUGGAGUUGUAUCAUACAAUGUUUAUUCUCAACAACUUAGGAAAGUUCAUUUUCGUGGAAAGGUUACUGGCCUCCAAUUUUCUACUCAGUGUUUGAAGACUCUAGUUUCAGUCUAGACAACAAAAAUGUAUUUAUUUUUAUAUUAAUUGUUUGUUACUAUUAUUAUUUUGUGUUCGAGAAUGCUGUAUAUAAAGAAGAGAUGUAUGCAUACCUGGUUUCGUAGCAUUCCUAAUAUAAGUUGGAUUUGGGUCAAUUUCAGGAUUCAACCAAGAGUACUACCUCCAUUUCUAACUCUUCUUCCAGUCAUGAUGAUUCACCAAUUGUUUCCAAUUUUACUGGUAAAGCCUCUCACUCUAACCCUACUCAAUCUUGGAUCAUUGGCACAGAUGCCACGCACCACGUGUAAUGAAUUCUCUCUAUUCACUUAUUUUCAUACAACUACAUCUCAUUUGUCUGUAAGGUGGCGUUUUGGUAAUGGUAGUAGGAAUAGGAAUUAAAUGGUAUUUUCAUUCUUUUGUUUGGUAGACUUUGGAAUCAGUUACUAUAUUUCAUAUAGAAUUAAUAUUA